Molecule: unclassified non-coding RNA, 346 nt
Filed under: soil metagenome
Description: partial contains 5.8S ribosomal RNA, internal transcribed spacer 2, and large subunit ribosomal RNA
Rfam family: 5.8S ribosomal RNA (bases 1-120)
Source: RNAcentral
GAUGAAGAACGUAGUGAAAUGCGAUAAUUAAUGUGAAUUGCAGAAUUCAGUGAAUCAUCGAGUCUUUGAACGCACAUUGCGCCCCCUGGUAUUCCGGGGGGCAUGCCUGUCCGAGCGUCAUUGCUGCCCUCAAGCACGGCUUGUGUGUUGGGCUUCCGUCCCUGGCAACGGGGACGGGCCCAAAAGGCAGUGGCGGCACCAUGUCUGGUCCUCGAGCGUAUGGGGCUUUGUCACCCGCUCCCGUAGGUCCAGCUGGCAGCUAGCCUCGCAACCAAUCUUUUUAACCAGGUUGACCUCGGAUCAGGUAGGGAUACCCGCUGAACUUAAGCAUAUCAAAAGCGGAGGA